Dermochelys coriacea (leatherback sea turtle) is the source of this 119-nucleotide small nuclear RNA. RefSeq annotates it as U5 spliceosomal RNA. The transcript has a single exon. NCBI's taxonomy places the organism in Eukaryota, Metazoa, Chordata, Testudines, Dermochelyidae. The record is from RefSeq and is a predicted model, not a curated record.
CCACUCUGGUUUCUCUUCAGAUCGUAUAAAUGUUUCGCCUUUUACUAAAGAUUUCCGUGGAGAGGAACAUUUAUGAGUUUCUACCCACUCUCCAGGGAAGGGGAGGAAAAGAUCUCCUC